GGGAAAAUGCGGCUGCCGAGUCAGGGUCUGAGUCCUCGUCCCAGGAGGCCACCCCUGAGAAAGAGUCCCUGGCCGAGUCGGCAGCCGCCUACACCAAGGCAACAGCGCGGAAGUGUUUGUUGGAAAAAGUGGAAGUCAUCACCGGGGAGGAGGCGGAGAGCAACGUGUUACAGAUGCAGUGCAAGCUGUUUGUCUUCGACAAGACCUCACAGUCCUGGGUGGAGAGAGGCCGGGGGCUGCUCAGACUCAAUGACAUGGCGUCCACCGACGACGGCACACUACAGUCCCGACUAGUGAUGCGGACCCAGGGGAGCCUGCGACUGAUCCUCAACACCAAGUUGUGGGCCCAGAUGCAGAUCGACAAGGCCAGCGAGAAGAGCAUCCGCAUCACAGCCAUGGACACCGAGGACCAGGGCGUGAAGGUCUUCCUGAUCUCGGUGAGCCAGCCACGCGGGUGCAUCUGGGACCCCUCAUCCUGCCAGCCAUGUGGGGGUUCCUGGGCACACAGAUCAGGCAGGACGGUGGGGAGG
This 530-nucleotide small RNA is filed under the name Pongo abelii (Sumatran orangutan). Its description in RNAcentral is "retained intron". The record is from RNAcentral. Lineage: Eukaryota; Metazoa; Chordata; Mammalia; Primates; Hominidae.